GACCAGACUCCUACGGGAGGCAGCAGCGGGGAAUAUUGCACAAUGGGGGAAACCCUGAUGCAGCGACGCCGCGUGAGCGAUGAAGUAUUUCGGUAUGUAAAGCUCUAUCAGUAGGGAAGAAGGAGGACGGUACCUGACUAAGAAGCCCCGGCUAACUACGUGCCAGCAGCCGCGGUAAUACGUAGGGGGCAAGCGUUAUCCGGAUUUACUGGGUGUAAAGGGGGCGCAGACGGCAGCGCAAGCCAGGAGUGAAAGCCCGGGGCCCAACCCCGGGACUGCUCUUGGAACUGCGCGGCUGGAGUGCAGGAGGGGCAGGCGGAAUUCCUGGUGUAGCGGUGAAAUGCGUAGAUAUCAGGAGGAACACCGGUGGCGAGGGCGGCCUGCUGGACUGCGACUGACGUUGAGGCCCGAAAGCGUGGGGAGCAAACAGGAUUAGAUACCCGCGUACCA
RNAcentral lists this ribosomal RNA (450 nucleotides) under uncultured bacterium. RNAcentral's name for it is "partial 16S ribosomal RNA". It matches the Rfam family "Bacterial small subunit ribosomal RNA", at positions 329 to 797 of the family's 1533-position model. The record is from RNAcentral.